CGCCUAACCAACUGAGCCAACCAGGCACCCAACAAGACAAGGAAACUGAGACCGAAGGGACUCACCCAAGACCACCGGCUAGGACUUGAACCCUGAAGAAAGGAUCUUCAGAUAGAUGGAAUGGGAGAAUGAGAGGUGGAGAGGUAACAGAUAUCCAGGGGUUGGGGAGCCAGGGAGGUGUGCUUCCCAUGGAAGGGGAGUGGUGAGUCAUCUCUGAGCCCUCACCGAGCCCAAUGAGCUGCUUGUCAGAUGUGUCAAACUCCUACUCAUGCUUUAAAACCCCAUCUCCCAUGUCCCCUCUUACAUGCAGCUUUCCUUGACACCUCUCCUGGAGCCCCCACUUCCCCUCCAGUUUCCUCCAUCCCUCGUUCAGACUCUUCUUUCUGUCCCGUACUUGCUCACAUAGGGCAGGGGUGGGGGUCUGUGCCCGGCUCUGUCUUUCCAGGAAUGGGCAGGGAUGGAGCUAAGGUCUCCUGCGAGCCAGCAUCUCCUAGCAAGGGAAUGGCCCAGAAGCCAUGUCAGGGAGCAUUUGAGCAAUGAGUAGUUGUGUCAAUGGAUGAAUGAAUGAAUUACUGAACAAGUAAAUCCAUUUAUUCUGUCA
This is a non-coding RNA of Leptonychotes weddellii (Weddell seal), 601 nucleotides long. Lineage: Eukaryota; Metazoa; Chordata; Mammalia; Carnivora; Phocidae. The record is from RefSeq and is a predicted model, not a curated record.